Small nuclear RNA from Loxodonta africana (African savanna elephant), 102 nucleotides. Lineage: Eukaryota; Metazoa; Chordata; Mammalia; Proboscidea; Elephantidae. The record is from Ensembl.
UCACUUUGACAGUGCAUAUGCUAAAAUUGGAAUAAUACAGAGAAGAUUAGCAUGGCCCUUCACAAGCACGAUGUGCAAAUUCUUGAGGCAUUCCUUUUUUUU